UGAGCAAUCUGCCCUUCUCAUCGGAAUAAGCGUUGGAAACGACGUCUAAUGCCGAAUACGACCUCCUUUCGCAUGAUCGGAGGUGGAAAGCUCCGGCGGAGAAGGAUGAGCUCGCGGCCUAUCAGCUAGUUGGUGUGGGUAAUGGCCCACCAAGGCGACGGACGGGUAGCCGGCCUGAGAGGGUGACCGGCCACACGUGGGACUGAGACACGGCCAGACUCCGUACGGGAGCAG
Molecule: ribosomal RNA, 234 nt
Filed under: uncultured bacterium
Lineage: Bacteria
Description: partial 16S ribosomal RNA
Rfam family: Bacterial small subunit ribosomal RNA
Source: RNAcentral